GACGAACGCUGGCGGCGUGCUUAACACAUGCAAGUCGAACGGAAAGGCCUGCUUUCCCUUGUGGAUUGCGGGUACUCGAGUGGCGAACGGGUGAGUAACACGUGAGUGAUCUGCCCCCAACUUGGGUAUAAGCCUGGGAAACUGGGUCUAAUUCCCGAUAGGACUGCAGGGUGGUGCCUGUGGUGGAAAACGAUUUUCUAGUGGUUGGGGAUGAGCUCGCGGCCUAUCAGCUUGUUGGUGGGGUAAUGGCCUACCAAGGCGGCGACGGGUAGCCGGCCUGAGAGGGUGGACGGCCACAUUGGGACUUAGAUACGGCCCAGACUCCUACGGGAGGCAGCAGUGGGGAAUAUUGCACAAUGGGCGGAAGCCUGAUGCAGCGACGCCGCGUGGGGGAUGACGGCCUUCGGGUUGUAAACUCCUUUCGACCGCGAGGAAGCCACCUGGUUGGAAGGGUGGUGACGGUAGUGGUAGAAGAAGCACCGGCUAACUACGUG
RNAcentral lists this ribosomal RNA (494 nucleotides) under uncultured bacterium. RNAcentral's name for it is "partial 16S ribosomal RNA". It matches the Rfam family "Bacterial small subunit ribosomal RNA", at positions 28 to 507 of the family's 1533-position model. The record is from RNAcentral.